GUCAACCUCUCCCCUCAGAACACCCAACCAGAGUGACAUGAAGUCUUGCACGGUCAAUGGAAUGCAUACGGGGGUGCGACAGCGUCAUUCGUUUCUUAUUUUAAGAGGUGCAACCUUCACACGAACAAAAAAGGGAACCUCGUGCUCGUGUUAUCACAAACACAACAAUGAAUUCCUUUUCGUCGAUUGGAUUUAUUUUCAGCUGUCAUUAACGGAUCUUGUAUGUUCGAAUUCACAGUAUCACCAGUUCAAUAGUUGUAGCUUUCAAAAUAUAUACCAUUAAACCACCAAUGCUCUUUUGUGUGUGUAUGUUUAUUUUACGUCAAGUAAUUAUCGUUUUCUUUUUCUUUUUUUCUUUUGGUCAGCCUUUUACCCAUAUUCUCUCCUAUUUGGUCAUAAAAAACUAUAAAAAAUUAGAUAAUAGACUAUAACCUCCAGGUUUGAUAUUUAUCUAUGAUGUUGUACCUGUAGAAUGUUUCUUCUUUCAGUCACCAAGGCUCGACUAAGAAGUGCCAACUUAUGAAUUCUGUAUAGAAAUCUUCUCUAACGGAAAUUUAAACCAUUCCAUCGGGGUGCUCUCAGAAAGUGAAAUAAAUCACCAUAUGACGAAAUAGAAUAUUAAACAUAAAAUCUAUAAAGUUGAUUAAUUUUUAGACCAAGUAAUUAUUCUUAAAACAUUAAUACCAUUUCAUGCAAAGACGUUUGACGCACAAUCCUAUUAAUAUUUUCCUUUUUAAAAUUAAAAAUGUAAUUUUGUGACAAACAGUGAUUUUCAACGCUGACACAGGCCUGUUUUAAUACGACUAACAGAAGAACUGGCAAGAUCUUAUCAGCAUGGACAGCGGGGAAAGGGAGGCAAAGGUUUUGUCUUUAAGCUUGAAAGUCGUCCUUCAUCAAUUAACUUCAAUUUCCUUCCGAAUAACAAUAGAACAAUAAUUGAUCUUAUCUGGCUAAAUUCAAGUCAAUACGGGGCUUUUAUGGUGAUGCGCUUAGGACGAGGGGCCCCCAGCACACCAAGGAAAAGCCUCAACGCUGUUUGAUCUACGUCAUCUAGACCGUGCUGGGUGCGCUUGAUUGAACGAAGGCGAGAGUAUUCGGGCCGUAAAACGUAUUUUCCCAUUGGCAACAAUGAUGACUUUCGCUGGAAUGUUGAAAUUAAUGUUGACAAAACAUCAUCAAAUAGCACACACUAACCCCAUCUUGCCUCCAGGACCGUCUUGUCGCAAAGAAAAGCCAAAGAAAAUGAAGAGAGAAAUAUGCUUCUAAUUGGUCUCCACUAUAUCAAAGAAAAAAUUCUCUGACACCCGAUACCCAUAUACAUAGACCGUGCCUCACUCGGGCGCCCGGGAACCACUUCACAACUAUUAGUAGCGACAAGAGACAUUUUACAUACAAAAGACACAUAAAAGAAAACGCACAGACGAACCGAGGGGAGUUUGCUAGAAAAACAAGCUUCGGUAUUAUAGACUUGUCAUUCUACAUUUGUCAAAUUAGAAACGAGAACUGCAGCGAUACCCAUACUGUGAUAGAAAAGCUGCAUGGUUUGGAAUAAGUCAAUGUAAUAUCAUAAUGUGAACUUCAGAUCUUACAAGCAAGAUCUGGGAUGUUUCACGAUGGUAUCGUGGAGGAGGAAUCUGAUAAAUGAAUAUUAAACCGUCUGAUAAAAAGCAAAAAGUCCCUGCUUCCAGACUUCAUAAUGGGCCUAACGUCUCCGCUAUUGUUUUUGGCGUGGGUUUGGGUUUGUUUUUUGUUUUUUUGCAAUUUUUCUCGACGGUUCUCCUGACCAAUUCCUGAUUAGUUGGUCACUUUGAAUCUGAUCCAGAAUUAAGUAAAUGGAUCAUCAAAGAAAAAAUGGCUAGAUCCCCUUUUAGACAAGAAAAUGAAUAUAUCUGUGGAGGACACAAUGGGGGAUAUCUUUCAUAUUUAUAUGUGCAUAUCGCAAUUGGGAGUCUUUUAAAAUGUGAACCAUUACGUGCACAUCCUAGACAAAUCCAAUUUUAUUCUGCAUGUACAUGAUAUGGUUAUAUUGUUUGAAUAUAUAAACAUUCUGGAGAGGUGUAAAUAUGUAUCCUCACAAUACUUAGCAUUACAUAGAAUAUGUUCAAGUAAUAAAUCCAAUACUAGUCUCACGUAAUAAAUUGAACAAUGUUGUAGAUACACUCAAUAUACAAGUAGCACCGCUCUCCUUAACUUCGUUUCACUUUUUGCUUUAACAUGUUUCGUGGCAGGUGUCGUUGAAGAGGAUUUACGCAUGUGUAUAGAUAAAUAGUUUUAAAUGAAUGUGAAUUAGUAUUUUUGAUAUUUUUAGUGUGGUGAGCUUGAUAAUAAAUGUAAUUCAAAUAUUGAAUUGAAAAGUUCCAGCAUAUCAUGAUUCCUUUAAAGUAUUUUGUUUUGGUAAGUUUAAAUUAUCUUUAAAACAUUUUCCCCUCCCACACUUGCCGGCUCUACCAUUCCUUAUUUUGCAUUAGAAUUUGUAAAUCAUUACUUGAAUUCAAAUGAACCACGACAACAAAUCUUAUUGUAGAAGUCAGUUAUUUUUAUUUCAAUGUUAUAUUAGUAAAUGCAUUAAAUUCCCUUAUAGAAAAGGGGAGGCAUACACUUGAUAAGUUUCUGUUUUCAAGGAAUAGAUGAAUUUCAUGAAGUAUACAUAAAAUUGCCCUUGUAAAUUUUCAGUUAAAAAUAAAUACCCACUGGUGCCAAAUUCUCUAAGCAUAAACAUACAAAAGAGACGGUUUAACUCUAUUAUUUAUAAAUCUUUCUUUAAUACAGUUCAUUUAUGGAAGAAAAGGACAUGCGAAUUUGGAAAGUUCUUGAUUCUUUCGGGGAAAAUGAGGGAGGAAACAUCUACUAAGAGCAUUGUGAAGUGAAUCAAACUGUUGUCUUCAAGAAUGCUGGUAUCAAACGAUGAUGAACAUUACUCACCUGCAACAGGAAUGUUUAUCAUCCAUUAUAAACUUCCUGAAAGAUGAUGAAAACGAGGACCAAACCGAUGAUGAAACGAGGACCAAACCGAUGAUGAAAACGAGGACCAAAAAGGGUGAUAAAAACGAGGACAAGACCGGUGGUCAAAACAAAGACCAAAACAAUGAUGAAAACGAGGACCAACAAAUUGAUUUACUUCGAUUACAAUGAUAUAUUGUGUAAAAUAUAUAAAUGUGAUGCAUGCUUUAUUUUCAGUUGAACCAUAAUUAUGAUUUCUUAAUUGAUAUUCUUGUGAAUGAGAAAGUGAAUGUUAGAAAAAUAUUCUUUGGAAUGAAAUUUGACACGGUCUAAAUAAUGAAAUACUUGCGGAAACCAAACCACCAAAAGUAAUGAACAGCUGAAAAGUAUAUGGGCAUGCUCUGUUUCAUUGAAAGAACAUAACGAUUGAGCUGACGAGAUCAACUUCUAAUAUUUUUAGACAUUCGGGUUUGAUUUUGGCAAGUGUUUCAAGAUUUUUACGAUUACAGAAUUGAUCUUAGAUAUUCAUGAUGGCACCUUUUCCAAAGAUGUGACAAAUGUAACGAACGAAAACUAAUCUCUGAAUUCUUAUUAUAUAUGAUGGAUGUCAUAUAUCGUCGGUUCAUAUUUGUAUUGGAAUUUUAUUCACAUGAAUGAGUUGUAUUGAAUACACACUGCAACAUUUCAGAAAUGUGCGAUAGCUCUGUAUCAAUAAAACAAUCUUUAUAAAUU
This is a long non-coding RNA of Ostrea edulis (European flat oyster), 3672 nucleotides long. RefSeq lists it as uncharacterized. The record is from RefSeq and is a predicted model, not a curated record. The transcript has 4 exons. Lineage: Eukaryota; Metazoa; Mollusca; Bivalvia; Ostreida; Ostreidae.